AAGCGACUCCCCUGCAGAUGGGGAGCUGGGGUUCAAACCGGGAUCCUUAUGCCGGUCCUUGUGCUUUGCACCACCUGCGCUUAACCCGCUGCGCUACAGCCCGACUCCCUUAAAUUCUUUUAUCCCAUGCUGAGGACCUGCUGCUGGAAGGCUGUAUGUUAUGGCGUCACCUGCGUUUUAUUCCUUCUGUGUGAUUUCUUUGCUUCACUACCGUAGAUGCUUUUAUACUGGUUGUGGAUUGUUUUCCUUGCAGAUUUGUCUUGAGAUUAUGGUGUAAAUCCAUCCUGGUCUCUUGAGCAGGCAAAUAGUAACAUUUCCUUCAUCCACUUAUCACGAGUCCUUCCCUUGUGAGGAUUUUCAAUAGCAGGCGUGUAAAUCUACUUUGAAAUCACUUUAUAUGAUUUCUUAUUUUCUGUUGUGCAUGAUUUUUAGCAUAUUAGCAUAGAUGUGUAGUAAAUAAAGUGUUAACCUACCAGAAAUAUUAAAUCUAUUGACUUUAUACAAGGUUAACAGUGAACAAUUUGAUAAAGACAUCCCUAGUUCCCUUAAACCUCAAAUUUAUUAUCUUCUUCAUAUCUUUUUUUUUUUUAUUAUAAGUUUUUUUUUUUUUUAAUUUUUUAACCAGAGCACUGUUCAGCUCUGGCUUAUGGUGGUGUGGGGGAUUGAAUCUAGGACUUUGGGGCCUCGGGCAUGAGAGUCUGUUUUCAUAACCAUUAUGCUAUCUACCCUCCGCCCAUCUUCCUCAUCUUUUUUUAAAAAUUUUAUUUAUUUAUUUUCCCUUUCGUUGCCCUUGUUUUUAUGGUUGUUGUAGUUAUUAUUGUUGUCGUUGUUGUUAGAUAGGACAGAGAGAAAUGGAGAGGAAGGGAAGACAGGGGGAGAGAAAGAUAGACACCCGAAGAUUUGCUUCACCGCCUGUGAAGCGACUCCCCUGCAGGUGGGGAGCCGGUGGCUGGAACCCGGAUCCUUAGCCCGUCCUUGCGCUUCACACCAUGUGCGCUUAACCCGCUGCGCUACCGCCCAACUCCCUCAUCUUCCUCCUAUCUUAAAUGUGGUACCUUUAUUGUCCUCAUUGUAAUUCGUUGAACAGCAUGAUUAAAAUAGGCUUUGGGAUGGUGGCUAGGUAAAUGGAAUGCAAGGCUUCCAUGUACCUAGUAGUGACCAUGUCUCCGAUUAAAAAAAAAAAAAAAAAGAAAAAAAUUUUUUUAUAUAUAUAUAAUAUCGUUGAGAGAUUUGGUAAAGUAUUCUAUAACACUGUUACCUGAACUGCAUUGUAUUUGGAGGGACAUUAAGUUGACAGCACUUCUUUUUGCUACCCUUAAGUGAUGACUUGUAACAGGCCUUUCACAUGGUUUUUUUUCUUUACGCUUUUAGUCAUGACCUCCACACCAAUCACCAUUCUUACUUUGAUUGGACCAAUGUACAUUAAACACUAUUGUGUACGUAGAACAGAUCGUCUGUAAGCUUAAGGAAAAAAGGUUCUAGCUGUAUUCCCAGGAACAAGCUCUCAAGACAAGUCAUUGACUCCUGGCCUGUGUGAAGAGUUCUGGAUGAAGCACUGAGUACUGGAGAAUGGAAGAAAGUCAAGAGUAGGUAUUUUGGAGAAGCCUUUGACCAGAGUUUCUCUUGUAGCUAUAAUACACACACACACACACACACACACACAUAUCAAACCCUAACAUUCCCAUUAUUUAGAUAUGACCCCAAACGUUCUCAAAUUCAUAAUUCUCAAAAUUAUUCACCUUUGUCAGUUAAAAAAAGGGCGGGGGGGAGUCAGACUGUAGUGCAGCGGGUUAAGCGCUGGAAGCGCAAAGCACAAGGACCGGUGUAAGAAUCCCGGUUCGAGCCCCUGGCUCCCCACCUGCAGGGGAGCCACUUCACAGGCGGUGAAGCAGGUCUAUCUUUUUCUCCCCCUCUGUCUUCCCCUCCUCUCUCCAUUUCUCUCCUAACAAUCUCUGUCAUUCUCUCUGUCAUCUUAACAAUGACAACAUCAAUAACAACAACAAUAAUAACUACAACAAUAAAACAACAAGGGCAACAAAUGGGAAUAAAUAUUUUUUUAAAAAAAGGAUUUGUUCUAAUGUGAAACAAAUCAAUGAGAAUGAAACAUUAACAAAAGUGAGUCAUACACCAUGAGCACUAGACAAUAAAAUCAAUUGUUUCUCUGCUA
Long non-coding RNA from Erinaceus europaeus (western European hedgehog), 2167 nucleotides. RefSeq lists it as uncharacterized. The transcript has 2 exons. The record is from RefSeq and is a predicted model, not a curated record. NCBI's taxonomy places the organism in Eukaryota, Metazoa, Chordata, Mammalia, Eulipotyphla, Erinaceidae.